GAUGAAGAACGUAGCGAACGUGCGAAACGUAAUGUGAAUUGCAGAAUUCAGUGAAUCAUCGAAUCUUUGAACGCACAUUGCGCCCGCCAGUAUUCUGGCGGGCAUGCCUGUUCGAGCGUCAUUUCAACCCUCAAGCACAGCUUGGUGUUGGGACUCGCGUUAAUUCGCGUUCCCCAAAUUGAUUGGCGGUCACGUCGAGCUUCCAUAGCGUAGUAGUAAAACCCUCGUUACUGGUAAUCGUCGCGGCCACGCCGUUAAACCCCAACUUCUGAAUGUUGACCUCGGAUCAGGUAGGAAUACCCGCUGAACUUAAGCAUAUCAAUAAGCGGAGGA
Molecule: unclassified non-coding RNA, 333 nt
Filed under: soil metagenome
Description: partial contains 5.8S ribosomal RNA, internal transcribed spacer 2, and large subunit ribosomal RNA
Rfam family: 5.8S ribosomal RNA (bases 1-121)
Source: RNAcentral